GCCGGGCAUGAUGACGUGCGCCUGUAAUCCCAGCUACUUGGGAGGCUGAGGCAGAAGAAUUGCUUGAACCCAGGAGGCGGAGAUUGCAGUGAGCCAAGAUCGCGCCACUGCACUCCAGCCUGGGUGACAGAGCAAGACUCUGUCUCAA
Molecule: unclassified non-coding RNA, 148 nt
Organism: Pongo abelii (Sumatran orangutan)
Lineage: Eukaryota; Metazoa; Chordata; Mammalia; Primates; Hominidae
Rfam family: Metazoan signal recognition particle RNA
About the family: The signal recognition particle (SRP) is a universally conserved ribonucleoprotein. It is involved in the co-translational targeting of proteins to membranes.
Source: Ensembl